Felis catus (domestic cat) is the source of this 2668-nucleotide long non-coding RNA. RefSeq lists it as uncharacterized. Lineage: Eukaryota; Metazoa; Chordata; Mammalia; Carnivora; Felidae. The transcript is spliced from 3 exons. The record is from RefSeq and is a predicted model, not a curated record.
GCAGCCCCUGGGAAACGUCUAGGUGAGAAACAGCAGUAACAUUAAGCCUGGAGUUAAACAAGAAGCCACUGUGCCUCCCAGAAGUGGUCUUAAAACAGGGAGGGCAAUUCCUAAAUUUAAAAAUUUAAUCAUAGUAGGUUGACUUAAUAGGCUUUUAUCUUCAAUUACUUUCUCUUAUUGGAUUUCUCUCCUCACACUUUGUAGUUUUAUUGGUCUUAGCCCUGAAAACCAUUAUAGUGAUGUGUCUAGAGUUGAGAUGAAAUUUGAUUUUCAUGGUGGCUAACUGCACAGAAAUCCGGCAGAUUACCACAUGCAAGGGACUCAGCCUGUAACUCAGAGGUUCCUCAGAGGAAGAGCCUCAGACCCGGGAGGGGUCCCAGCACGUUCUGGGGGAUGUUGGUCUCCCAUCCCCCACAUUUGACACCUCACCCUAACCACACCCUGCUUCCCCCCUCUAAACCCCAGCAUGGCCUGUUCAGCCGGAAUCUUCAGAAGCAGGACACAGCAGAAACCUGGAUUAGAACAGGGGAAUAACAAAGAUGGCAGCUGCGUGAGAGGAAGCAAGCCUUGCCACCUAUUGGAUGAAGUUUAAGUGUUCAAGAGAAUUGAGAUUGCAAGACAAACUGUGCUGAAAUCUGGAGACAAGGGUGAAUACAGAGAUUCCCAGCUAAGAUCUGCUUACCUAGAGUGGAAGCUACUGAAGCCAUGAACUGGUGGGAUCACUCAGAUGGAAUGAGGACAUACUGUGGGCCCAGAGCAGUCGUUCUGCUUGUGAAGGACUGUCUUCACCUGCAGCGAAGAAAUUGACAGUCUGCAGUAGAGACCUCAGCCUGCCUCUGCCUGAACUCUCAAGGCUUUGGUGUGAGUUUCAGAAAAAGAAAUCUUUCCCCAUGCCUGUCAAGAAUUGCACACUCAUUAACAUCUACAAAACCCAGGUAACUAAAACCAAACAACGGUUAGGCAUGUGGCAUUUGUGAGCUGUUUUUCUAUUCAACAACUGCUCAAACUUGCAGGUAAAUUAAUUAUUCUACAGAAAGGCUUUCCUGCUUAGCAAGAGCCCAGCAAACAGUAAAAUUAAGACAUGCAGUAAAAGCUUUCUCUGUAUGUGGUUUUGUAUGUAUGUGCACGUGUGCCUAUCUAUACCCAUCUAUACAUACAUAUCCGUAUCUAUGUGUAAUUUAGGUUCAUUUCAGUAAGCCUACAGCUUCAAUUCUUGGCAAACAGAUAUGAAAUGUAUACUUUACUUUCAUGUGUUCACUGAGGUUUUCCUUCUUUAAAAGCUUUGUGCUCCAUACAUUGACUGGUGUUUUGCUUCCCCUGUUAGCAUGUACACAUUUUAUUGACAACCUUCGACCUUUAUCACCUAAGAUCAUUAUCUUCUGUGCAGGGAUGCCACAACAUCCUGUUGAUUUUGCCUUCCCAGUUUUAAUGGAAGGUGGCUUUAAAAAAUGUUGGUGGGAACCCUCAUGUGCAUACAGUCACCUGGGGAGUCCUUGGUGGGUACAGUCCUUUAAUGCCCUGAGUAAAGAGCAGGGGGGUGUAUAGUGAGGGAAUCCAAGAAGUGGGUACAGGGCCCUUUCAGAAACAGCUGUGAAUGAAGACAAUGCAGAAUAGGUAUGAUUGUUUUAUGUCUUUAAUUUCUUCUUAGCCUACUUGCUUGCUUUUUUACCACAUGAUUCUGGAGAAUGGAAACCAAUUGCUAGGUGUAUAUGAAACAGAUAUUUAAUGAUGACUUUGUGAAGAAGAUUUACCGGGACAUUGUGGAAAGGAUUUGUGGAGAAAAAUGUCUAUUGUAAUGCUGUGCAUGCUGAGGCUCAGGGAGUUUCCAAAGAAGAAAAGACCACAGAGCUUUUGUCUGAUCAAUAGCCUCAUUAACUCUCAGCCAAUAACUCUAUUAACACUAAGAGCUGGUUUCCACUUUUGGCAACAAGUUCCAAGCUUGAAGAAUGACUAAUGGUCACUUUCUACAGAAAUCCACACCAUCUCCUGCUCACUGUGCAUCUGUGUCACAGAUGGUUGGGAUGUUUCCCAUAGUUUAUUUUUAUACUCUAUGAAUCCUAUAAAGUCUGUGCCUGAUUUUAAAAAAAACCCAUCCACCAAGGUCCAGUAUAUCAGUGAUGGGUGAUGUUAACUAUGUUGACCGCAUCACCAUCCUAUAGGAAUUCCUCAUCCAUCAUUCAGCUUUAAUACAUAGAGAGUCCUACUCAUUUAGGCAUCAGCAUGUUUUCUCAGUAUAAUUGUAGUGUAAGUACAGUUUAAGUAAGUAUAGUUGCUCACAGAGCACUAAAGAGCUCACAGUUCUUACUGAGAUUCCAACAUUUAUCUUGAACAAAUGCAUCCUGGAUUGCUGAAAAACCUUUCCAAAGUUCUAAAGAAAAGUUGAUUUUUAACAAUUUUUGCCAGUUUUCUCAUUGCUUUUAUGGAGGAGAUAAUUUUGUAGGUCGUUACUCUGAUAUUUCCCCUCAUAUCACCCUCUAAUUAGCUGUUUAGUGGCUAUAGGAUCUGUAGUGAUAAUCCCUAUUUAAUUUCUGAUGAUAAUAUGUGUCUUCCUUCUUUUUAUUGGUAUCAUUCUUGCUAAAGCUUUACUAAUGUUAAUGGCUUUUUUCAAAGAAACAUCUUUUUGUUUCACUGAUUUUUCUCCUGUUUUCCUAUUUUCAGUUUCAUCAUC